AAAAUAUGUAUAGGUUAUGAUCUUUAAAAUUAAAGAAUUUGGCGGUAUUUUAGUCUGUUCAGAGGAACCUGUUUUUUAAUCGAUAGUCCACGAUAAUUAGUACCUUAACUACAAAUUUAUAUAUCGUCGUUGUUAAAAAUUUUGGGAGAACUUUAAUUUUUGAGAUUUUAGAUCUNAUAAUAAUUCAGAUCAAGGUGUAGUAUAUGUUGGGGUUAGAAUGGGUUACAUUAUAUAUAUAUGUAUUUUUUGAUUUUUGAAGUUAAGAUAAAAUGGAUUUGAGAGUAAAUUUUUUAUUUAUGAAGAUUGAUUUAGUUCUAAAAUAUGCACACAUCGCC
This 335-nucleotide ribosomal RNA is filed under the name Lepispilus sp. GJK-2014. RNAcentral's name for it is "partial 12S ribosomal RNA". Lineage: Eukaryota; Metazoa; Arthropoda; Insecta; Coleoptera; Tenebrionidae. The record is from RNAcentral.